Molecule: ribosomal RNA, 468 nt
Filed under: uncultured bacterium
Lineage: Bacteria
Description: partial 16S ribosomal RNA
Rfam family: Bacterial small subunit ribosomal RNA
Source: RNAcentral
GACGAACGCUGGCGGCGUGCUUAACACAUGCAAGUCGAACGGAAAGGCCCUGCUUUUGUGGGGUGCUCGAGUGGCGAACGGGUGAGUAACACGUGAGUAACCUGCCCUUGACUUUGGGAUAACUUCAGGAAACUGGGGCUAAUACCGGAUAGGAGCUCCUGCUGCAUGGUGGGGGUUGGAAAGUUUCGGCGGUUGGGGAUGGACUCGCGGGUUAUCAGCUUGUUGGUGGGGUAGUGGCUUACCAAGGCUUUGACGGGUAGCCGGCCUGAGAGGGUGACCGGCCACAUUGGGACUGAGAUACGGCCCAGACUCCAACGGGAGGCAGCAGUGGAGAAUAUUGCACAAUGGGCGGAAGCCUGAUGCAGCAACGCCGCGUGCGGGAUGGCGGCCUUCGGGUUGUAAACCGCUUUCGCCUGUGACGAAGCGUGAGUGACGGUAAUGGGUAAAGAAGCACCGGCUAACUACGUG